ACUCCUACGGGAGGCAGCAGUGGGAAUUUUGGACAAUGGGCGAAAGCCUGAUCCAGCAAUGCCGCGUGUGCGAAGAAGGCCUUCGGGUUGUAAAGCACUUUUGUUAGGGAAGAAAUCUUCCGGGCCAAUACCCCGGUUGGAUGACGGUACCUUUCGAAUAAGCACCGGCUAACUACGUGCCAGCAGCCGCGGUAAUACGUAGGGUGCAAGCGUUAAUCGGAAUUACUGGGCGUAAAGCGUGCGCAGGCGGCACUACAAGACAGAUGUGAAAUCCCCGGGCUCAACCUGGGAAUUGCAUUUGUGACUGUAGAGCUAGAGUGUGUCAGAGGGGGUGGAAUUCCACGUGUAGCAGUGAAAUGCGUAGAGAUGUGGAGGAACACCGAUGGCGAAGGCAGCCCCUGGGAUAACACUGACGCUCAUGCACGAAAGCGU
This 432-nucleotide ribosomal RNA is filed under the name uncultured bacterium. RNAcentral's name for it is "bacterial SSU rRNA". It matches the Rfam family "Bacterial small subunit ribosomal RNA", at positions 335 to 762 of the family's 1533-position model. The record is from RNAcentral.